This 253-nucleotide ribosomal RNA is filed under the name uncultured bacterium. Its description in RNAcentral is "partial 16S ribosomal RNA". It matches the Rfam family "Bacterial small subunit ribosomal RNA", at positions 524 to 776 of the family's 1533-position model. The record is from RNAcentral.
UACGGAGGAUGCAAGCGUUAUCCGGAAUGAUUGGGCGUAAAGGGUCCGCAGGUGGCAAUGUGUGUCUGCUGUCAAAGAAUGAGGCUUAACCUCAUCAAGGCAGUGGAAACUACAUAGCUAGAGUACGGUCGGGGUAGAAGGAAUUCCUGGUGUAGCGGUGAAGUGCGUAGAGAUCAGGAAGAACACCGGUGGCGAAAGCGUUCUGCUAGACCUGUACUGACACUGAGGGACGAAAGCUAGGGGAGCGAAUGGG